Scophthalmus maximus (turbot) is the source of this 829-nucleotide long non-coding RNA. RefSeq lists it as uncharacterized. NCBI's taxonomy places the organism in Eukaryota, Metazoa, Chordata, Actinopteri, Pleuronectiformes, Scophthalmidae. The transcript has 3 exons. The record is from RefSeq and is a predicted model, not a curated record.
CCUGAUCCCGCUCGGCCACUUCCUUCUUCUCCGUCUGCGCGCGCAUCCACGCGUGCACCGGGUCACCAAGCUCCACAUCGCGCAGGGAAACGACGAAACAGCUGAUUGUACCUGCUGCGUGCUGAAGUCAAAGCCCAGGUCCACCCACCUGUCGAGCUGCGAGGUCGUGACACAAUGGAACAUGAACCUGUAGAAGCUACAAGUCCGAAUGAAAUCAACCUGGUUGAACCCGACAUCACAGACCUGCAAGUCGGAGGUUGACACUCGAACGCCUCCUUGAGUCGGAGGAACCACCAACCACGACUUGUGAGCUCUGAGCUCUGAGGUGUGCUGCGCUCCCGGACGCUCGCCGUCCUCCUCGUCGGUGUACGGAGGAUUCCACAGCUGGAUCUUCUCCUGCUUCAGCAGGUUCUUCAGCUUCGCCUCCGUGUUCUGCUCCGCCAUCGUAUCUGACAGCGGCGGGACACGAGGUGAGGACGAGGUGACGGUGGUUCGAUUCCCCCGAGAGACAAACUGCAGAAGAAAAACAUCUCAUUUAAAACACUUCCUCACUCCUCACAGAGGAUUGUGGGUAAUUUCACCUUUUCAGGACCCUGGAAGUCAACCUGCUGACGAAGCCACGCCCCUUUUAAAAACAGACACGGUCGGAAGCUGAAACCAUGAAAAUGAUUUCACCCAUUAAUUAAUAAUCAAUAAUGAUCAGUUCAUUGUCCCAGCUUCACUUAUAACCUCUAACAACAACAUCCAGCUCAUAAAUAUGUAUAUUAAUAUUAAUAGACAUGUAAAUGUGCCGAAGGAGAGUUUGAAGAGUAAAAUUAGAAUUUGUUCA